UGAGUUGUGGCUCAGCAGUGGAGCACUUACCUACUACGUGUGAGGCUCUGGGUUCAAUCCUCAGCACCACAU
Non-coding RNA from Ictidomys tridecemlineatus (thirteen-lined ground squirrel), 72 nucleotides. The record is from Rfam. Lineage: Eukaryota; Metazoa; Chordata; Mammalia; Rodentia; Sciuridae.